Molecule: non-coding RNA, 35 nt
Organism: Bacteroidales bacterium WCE2008
Lineage: Bacteria; Pseudomonadati; Bacteroidota; Bacteroidia; Bacteroidales
Source: Rfam
AAGGUGGAUCCCGAAAAACCUGAAUAGAGUAGGGA